AGAGAGAGACAUGCGCGCAUAUCAAUAAGCGGAGGAAAAGAAACUAACUAGGAUUCCCUCAGUAACGGCGAGUGAAGCGGGAAGAGCUCAAAUUUGAAAUCUUCAAGGUUCUACCUUGACGAAUUGUAGUUUAAAGAAGUGUUUUCUGUUGGAGUUUUGGUAAAAGUUCUUUGGAAUAGGACAUCAUAGAGGGUGAGAAUCCCGUAUUUGACCAUUAUUUCCAGCUUUGUGAUACACUUUCAAAGAGUCGGAUUGUUUGGGAAUGCAGUCCAAAAUGGGUGGUAAAUUUCAUCUAAAGCUAAAUAUUGGCGAGAGACCGAUAGCGAACAAGUACCGUGAGGGAAAGAUGAAGAGAACUUUGAAAAGAGAGUUAAACAGUACGUGAAAUUGUCAAAAGGGAAGCGUUUGACACCAGUGUUGUUUUUCUGAAAAUCAAUUAAAGAACUGUUUAUGCUAAGUUGUUUAGACUUUAUCAGCUAUCUGUUUAGUUUUGAGCUUUUCUUUAAUGCACUUUUCAGUUAACAAGUCAACAUCAAUUUCUUUUGCUGUAAAAAAGCUUGAGGAAGGUGGCUUGAGAUUCGUCUUAAGUGUUUAUAGCCUCUUGCCUAUGCAGUCGGAGAGAUUGAGGUCUGCAGCGUAGAUCCUUCGGGGCUAAAUGCAUUUGUGCUAAGUUAUAACAUUUUAUAGACAACUUGUUGACUAUGAUUUGUCUUGUAGCUUACUCGCUUAUGUUAUUUUACCUACGCUUAGGAUGUUGAUGUGAUACUGCGAGCA
Molecule: ribosomal RNA, 774 nt
Filed under: uncultured Neocallimastigales
Lineage: Eukaryota; Fungi; Neocallimastigomycota; Neocallimastigomycetes; Neocallimastigales
Description: partial large subunit ribosomal RNA
Rfam family: Eukaryotic large subunit ribosomal RNA
Source: RNAcentral